CCGGUGUCGACUUACUAGCUGCAAGCCUCUGCCUGCCUUCCUGCGCGCCGUUCCCCGCUAGUCGCUGCUGCUGGCGCGCACUCGCCGGGUUUUUCCUCCCACGGCCUCGAGAUGGUGGUGAAUGUGGCACGGAGGAGCCGGGCCUUCCAACCCGGUGGGCCCGAGCUCCGAAAGGCCCCCUCGGCAGUGAGAGGGGCGGGAGCCCGCGGGGGCCGCGCCCUUCUCUCGCUUCGGACUGCGCAACGCUGCGCUCUGGGCUGACAGAUGAAGACUCUUAAGAUGACAGAAGGUGAUUUUUCUGGUGAUCGAGGACUUCCGGGGUAAUGACAGUGAUGAAAUGCAGGGGACCUGGUUGCCCCCAAGUUUCCUGGCAGUGUGUGAUACUGAGGAGAUUCAUGUUACAUGUAAAGCUGUCCUCAUUUGUGACUAUGGACCUAUGGAGUUGGGACAAUCUCUAUGGGAAGCAGAAGGCAAGGACCCCGGUCAUUUUAGGUAGAAACAACAGCAUGCUAAUGCAAAAAAUUAUGCAGUGUGCUACUGAACUUCAGAGGUGAUCAAUAAAAGAAGAAUAAAAAGACUAA
RNAcentral lists this long non-coding RNA (581 nucleotides) under Homo sapiens (human). RNAcentral's name for it is "HSALNT0291033". The record is from RNAcentral. Lineage: Eukaryota; Metazoa; Chordata; Mammalia; Primates; Hominidae.